GGCUCAGGAUGAACGCUGGCGGUAUGCCUAACACAUGCAAGUCGAACGAGGUGUUUUCGGACACUUAGUGGCGGACGGGUGAGUAACACGUGAGAACCUACCUUCAGAACGGGGACAACAGUUGGAAACGACUGCUAAUACCCGAUGUGCCGAGAGGUGAAAGAUUUAUCGUCUGAAGAUGGGCUCGCGUCUGAUUAGCUAGUUGGGGGUGUAAGAGACCACCAAGGCGACGAUCAGUAGCUGGUCUGAGAGGAUGAGCAGCCACACUGGGACUGAGACACGGCCCAGACUCCUACGGGAGGCAGCAGUGGGGAAUUUUCCGCAAUGGGCGAAAGCCUGACGGAGCAAUACCGCGUGAGGGAGGAAGGUCCUUGGAUUGUAAACCUCUUUUAUCAGGGAAGAAAAAAAUGACGGUACCUGAUGAAUAAGCAUCGGCUAACUCCGUGCCAGCAGCCGCGGUAAUACGGAGGAUGCGAGCGUUAUCCGGAAUUAUUGGGCGUAAAGCGUCCGUAGGUGGUUUUGCAAGUCUGCCGUCAAAGAAUGGAGCUCAACUCCAUACCGGCGGUGGAAACUGUGAGACUAGAGUACAGUAGGGGUAGCAGGAAUUCCCAGUGUAGCGGUGAAAUGCGUAGAUAUUGGGAAGAACAUCGGUGGCGAAAGCGUGCUACUGGGCUGAAACUGACACUGAGGGACGAAAGCUAGGGUAGCGAAAGGGAUUAGAUACCCCUGUAGUCCUAGCCGUAAACGAUGGAUACUAGGCGUGGCUUGUAUCGACCCGAGCCGUGCCGAAGCUAACGCGUUAAGUAUCCCGCCUGGGGAGUACGCUCGCAAGAGUGAA
RNAcentral lists this ribosomal RNA (838 nucleotides) under uncultured bacterium. Its description in RNAcentral is "bacterial SSU rRNA". It matches the Rfam family "Bacterial small subunit ribosomal RNA", at positions 21 to 898 of the family's 1533-position model. The record is from RNAcentral.